GUCGCCACCACUUUCUUUUCUUCCUCUCUUCAAGGCCAUCACCGCUUCCUUCUCUUCCUUUCUUCAAGGCCAGAUCCAUCGCCUCUGACCAUAUUUUCAUAAUGAAAGUGGCCCUGAUCUACAAGGAGGUGUUACAUGGGAUCCAAAUACCAACAAAGUUGAUGCUGCAGAGGAAAUUUGGCAACACUUUUUUAUGAUAAACAAGAUUGAGUACAAAAUAUUCAAGAAGGAAUGAUGUAAGCAUUAUGCAGUUCUUAAAGAGAUAUUUGGCAGAGUACAGCUACUGGAGGUUUAGGCAAUACUUCCACUCAGCUUCCUUCAACAUUAGAGGAAGAAAGACAGAUAAAAGAUGAUUUUCUAAACAAAGUACAUGUACGUGUGCAACAAAAUGAUGAUGAAUAUGAUGAAGUUACAAGUACUCAUCAUGACAAAUGAAGACCUAAAGAAUCCAAGACUAGUAAAGGUGAAAAACUCGAGGCUUGUAUAGCUCAAUGAUCAUUUAUAGUUAAUAUGAGAAAUGAAAAAAAUGAACUUAGGAUGUUUUACUUGAAAGAAAAGCUUGCACGCAGGCAAGGAAAAUCAU
This is a long non-coding RNA of Diospyros lotus (date-plum), 583 nucleotides long. RefSeq lists it as uncharacterized. The record is from RefSeq and is a predicted model, not a curated record. The transcript is spliced from 3 exons. Lineage: Eukaryota; Viridiplantae; Streptophyta; Magnoliopsida; Ericales; Ebenaceae.